This 871-nucleotide ribosomal RNA is filed under the name uncultured Methanosaeta sp. RNAcentral's name for it is "bacterial SSU rRNA". It matches the Rfam family "Archaeal small subunit ribosomal RNA", at positions 4 to 879 of the family's 1478-position model. The record is from RNAcentral. Lineage: Archaea; Methanobacteriati; Methanobacteriota; Methanomicrobia; Methanotrichales; Methanotrichaceae.
CUGGUUGAUCCUGCCAGAGGUUACUGCUAUCGAGGUUCGACUAAGCCAUGCGAGUCGAAUGUAGCAAUACAUGGCGUACUGCUCCAGUAACACGUGGAUAACCUACCCUUAGGACGGGGAUAAACCCGGGAAACUGGGUAUAAUACCCGAUAGAUCUCGACUGCUGGAAUGCAUCGAGCUUGAAAGCUCCGGCGUCUAAGGAUGGAUCUGCGGCCUAUCAGGUAGUAGUGGGUGUAGCGUACCUACUAGCCUACGACGGGUACGGGUUGUGAGAGCAAGAGCCCGGAGAUGGAUUCUGAGACACGAAUCCAGGCCCUACGGGGUGCAGCAGGCGCGAAAACUUUACAAUGCCGGCAACGGCGAUAAGGGGACCUCGAGUGCCAGGUUACAAAUCUGGCUGUCGUGAUGCCUAAAAAGCAUUGCAUAGCAAGGGCCGGGCAAGACCGGUGCCAGCCGCCGCGGUAACACCGGCGGCUCGAGUGGUAACCGUUAUUAUUGGGUCUAAAGGGUCUGUAGCCGGCCGGAUAAGUCUCUUGGGAAAUCUGGCAGCUUAACUGUCAGGCUUUCAGGAGAUACUGUCUGGCUCGAGGCCGGGAGAGGUGAGAGGUACUUCAGGGGUAGGGGUGAAAUCUUGUAAUCCUUGAAGGACCACCAGUAGCGAAGGCGUCUCACCAGAACGGACCUGACGGCAAGGGACGAAAGCUAGGGGCACGAACCGGAUUAGAUACCCGGGUAGUCCUAGCCGUAAACGAUACUCGCUAGGUGUCGGCCACGGUGCGACCGUUGUCGGUGCCGUAGGGAAGCCGUGAAGCGAGCCACCUGGGAAGUACGGCCGCAAGGCUGAAACUUAAAGGAAUUGGCGGGGGAGCAC